ACGGAAGGCAGCAGUAGGGAAUAUUGCACAAUGGGGGAAACCCUGAUGCAGCGACGCCGCGUGAGUGAUGAAGUAUUUCGGUACGUAAAGCUCUAUCAGCAGGGAAGAUAAUGACGGUACCUGACUAAGAAGCCCCGGCUAACUACGUGCCAGCAGCCGCGGUAAUACGUAGGGGGCAAGCGUUAUCCGGAUUUACUGGGUGUAAAGGGCGUGUAGGCGGAGCUGCAAGUCAGAUGUGAAAUCCCGGGGCUCAACCCCGGAACUGCAUUUGAAACUGUAGCCCUUGAGUAUCGGAGAGGCAAGCGGAAUUCCUAGUGUAGCGGUGAAAUGCGUAGAUAUUAGGAGGAACACCAGUGGCGAAGGCGGCUUGCUGGACGACAACUGACGCUGAGGCGCGAAAGCGUGGGGAGCAAACAGGAUUAGAUACCCUGGUA
This 434-nucleotide ribosomal RNA is filed under the name uncultured Lachnospiraceae bacterium. RNAcentral describes it as "partial 16S ribosomal RNA". It matches the Rfam family "Bacterial small subunit ribosomal RNA", at positions 341 to 792 of the family's 1533-position model. The record is from RNAcentral. Lineage: Bacteria; Bacillati; Bacillota; Clostridia; Lachnospirales; Lachnospiraceae.